This 338-nucleotide long non-coding RNA is filed under the name Homo sapiens (human). RNAcentral describes it as "non-protein coding lnc-CCDC130-1:1". Lineage: Eukaryota; Metazoa; Chordata; Mammalia; Primates; Hominidae. The record is from RNAcentral.
UAGUACAGACGGGGUUUUACUAUGUUGGCCAGGCUGGUCUCGAACUCCUGACCUCGUGAUCUGCCCACCUUGGCCUCCCAAAGUGCUGCAGUUACAGGAGUGAGCUACUGCACCUGGCCAAUUUGGCUCCUUUCUUAAAGGUGAGAAAACUGAGACUGCAUUCACCUAUUUGUCAUUCAUUCAACAAAUGCUUACUGGAUAUUGACAAGGGCUCACUGUUAUUGAGAGCUAACUAUAUGUCAGGCACUGUUCUGGACCGUUUUCAGAUACUUACUCUUGAAACCCUCAAACACCCUUGUGAUGUAGCCAACUAAUGGGUAACAUCUCUAGUUACCCUA